RNAcentral lists this small nuclear RNA (111 nucleotides) under Nomascus leucogenys (northern white-cheeked gibbon). Lineage: Eukaryota; Metazoa; Chordata; Mammalia; Primates; Hylobatidae. The record is from RNAcentral.
GCUGUCAGAUUUGUUUUAAGCAUACUAAAAAAUGAUUCAACGAUACAGAGAUGAUUAACAUGGUCCCUACCUGACGAUGACACACAAGUUCAUGAAGCAUUUCACACUUUU